AUUGAACGCUGGCGGCAGGCCUAACACAUGCAAGUAGAACGAGUGGCGGACGGGUGAGUAAUGUCUGGGAAACUGCCCGAUGGAGGGGGAUAACUACUGGAAACGGUAGCUAAUACCGCAUACAUCGGCUGUGACCAGAUGGGAUUAGCUAGUAGGUGGGGUAAUGGCUCACCUAGGCUACAAUCCCUAGCUGGUCUGAGAGGAUGACCAGCCACACUGAAACUGAGGCACGGUCCAGACUAAUAGGGGAGUCAGCAGUGGUGAAUAUUACACAAUGGGGGCAAGCCUGAUGCAGCCGUGCCGCGUGUAUGAAGAAGGCCUUCGGGUUGUAAAGUACUUUCAGCGAGGAGGCGUUACUCGCAGGAGAAGCGCCGGCUAACUCCGUGCCAGCAGCCGCGGUAAUAC
Molecule: ribosomal RNA, 405 nt
Filed under: uncultured bacterium
Lineage: Bacteria
Description: partial 16S ribosomal RNA
Rfam family: Bacterial small subunit ribosomal RNA
Source: RNAcentral